AUAAAAAGUGCGAAUUUAAGAUUUUUAGUAAAAAAUUAACAAUAUCUAAAGAAAACGAAACUGAAAAAAGAAAACAUAAAUCGAAAGCACUUUCUCUGGCACAGCUGUCAAUAAAGCAAAAGGAAACUGAAACCAGAACAGAUACUGGAAUCCAAAGGAAGCAAAGAAUUAACUACUUGCGUAUAUUAACAAACAAGACAUCAUAAUUAUUGGAUAAAUAAAACAUUUCCACACAAAAGCCAUACAAACAGACAGCCAGUCAGUCAGUCAG
Long non-coding RNA from Calliphora vicina (urban bluebottle blowfly), 271 nucleotides. RefSeq lists it as uncharacterized. The record is from RefSeq and is a predicted model, not a curated record. Lineage: Eukaryota; Metazoa; Arthropoda; Insecta; Diptera; Calliphoridae. The transcript is spliced from 4 exons.